UCCAACCGAUGUGCCUCAAACCGGUUUCAUUAGAAAGGCAAUAAUGCGAGGAUGGUUUUUAGACCAAUAAAAAGAUGCAUUAGUCAAAUUUUUUUAGCGUAGUAGCACACGCCGGGUAUCUAAGCAUUAAUAUAUAUUAGGAGUUUUUGGUCAUAGA
This is a long non-coding RNA of Maniola jurtina (meadow brown), 157 nucleotides long. RefSeq lists it as uncharacterized. The record is from RefSeq and is a predicted model, not a curated record. The transcript is spliced from 5 exons. NCBI's taxonomy places the organism in Eukaryota, Metazoa, Arthropoda, Insecta, Lepidoptera, Nymphalidae.